GUCAGCAUGGUGUAGUGGUUUGCAGGUUAGACUGAGAUUCUGGAGACCAGGAUUCGAUUCCUGUUUCGGUC
Non-coding RNA from Phrynosoma platyrhinos (Desert horned lizard), 71 nucleotides. The record is from the annotation of a GenBank genome assembly. NCBI's taxonomy places the organism in Eukaryota, Metazoa, Chordata, Lepidosauria, Squamata, Phrynosomatidae.